UACGUAGGGUGCAAGCGUUGUCCGGAAUUAUUGGGCGUAAAGAGCUCGUAGGCGGUUUGUCGCGUCUGCUGUGAAAACGCGAGGCUCAACCUCGCGCCUGCAGUGGGUACGGGCAGACUAGAGUGCGGUAGGGGAGAUUGGAAUUCCUGGUGUAGCGGUGGAAUGCGCAGAUAUCAGGAGGAACACCGAUGGCGAAGGCAGAUCUCUGGGCCGUUACUGACGCUGGAGGAGCGAAAGCAUGGGGAGCGAACAGG
RNAcentral lists this ribosomal RNA (254 nucleotides) under uncultured bacterium. RNAcentral's name for it is "partial 16S ribosomal RNA". It matches the Rfam family "Bacterial small subunit ribosomal RNA", at positions 524 to 776 of the family's 1533-position model. The record is from RNAcentral.